This is a long non-coding RNA of Dalotia coriaria, 660 nucleotides long. RefSeq lists it as uncharacterized. The transcript is spliced from 2 exons. The record is from RefSeq and is a predicted model, not a curated record. NCBI's taxonomy places the organism in Eukaryota, Metazoa, Arthropoda, Insecta, Coleoptera, Staphylinidae.
CGUGCAGAGCGUAGAGAACUCUCCACCAUUGGUCGUUUAUCUUCCAACUGCUGUCUAAACGCACGAUGAUCAUCCUGCCUUGAAGCUAAACCCAACUCAGUGUCUUUCCUAAUCACCCAUUCUGUCAACUCCCUUAGAGCUACUUGCCAACGACGCUCCAUCUCAUCACCACGCAGCUGCAGCAUGAGCGCAUCCUCAGGUGCUAAAGUACCCAGCAGCGCUAAACUAGAAGUUCUUAAAGCUUGAUGCGUGGUUGAUUGCCUGUCUAUAUCAAUCUGAAGUUCUUCCAGACCCUGAGCGCCUCUCCGUGAGUCGCUAUCGGCCUCGAGCGACUCGAGCACAGACUCCACCUCGCUUAACCAUGCGAGGAACUUGUCAAGAGAGCGGUCGAGGUUUUGCAGAGAGCUCAUCGCAGCGUGAAGAAGCUUGCCACGGUUGAUCACGCAUGCAUCGAGUCGAGUAUAGAGUUGAGUUAUGUCUGAUACAGACUUAACAAAGAAGGUUACAAACAUUUUUAUCUAUUCACGACUAGACAACAAUAAAUUAUUAAAAAAAAAACAAUAACACCAAGUUUAGGAAAGGAAUAUAUUGUUAAAAUAACAUAAAUUAAACCACAUUUAAAUGAUGAAUUGAUAAAAAAAUUCACUUACUCGCUUAAAA